GGAGAGGUGGCUGAGUGGUUGAAAGCGGUGGAUUGCUAAUCCGCUAUACCGGAUUUAUCCGGUAUCGAGGGUUCGAACCCCUCCCUCUCCG
RNAcentral lists this transfer RNA (91 nucleotides) under Bdellovibrionales bacterium RIFOXYC12_FULL_39_17. RNAcentral describes it as "tRNA-Ser". It matches the Rfam family "tRNA". Rfam says of the family: Transfer RNA (tRNA) molecules are approximately 80 nucleotides in length. Their secondary structure includes four short double-helical elements and three loops (D, anti-codon, and T loops). The record is from RNAcentral. RNAcentral also lists the same sequence under 3 other names. Lineage: Bacteria; Pseudomonadati; Bdellovibrionota; Bdellovibrionia; Bdellovibrionales.